GAGGAUUUAGCUCAGUGGUAAAGCAAAUGCUUGGCAUACAGAAGUGCCCAGUUCAAUCCCUGGACCCCCCA
Molecule: non-coding RNA, 71 nt
Organism: Phrynosoma platyrhinos (Desert horned lizard)
Lineage: Eukaryota; Metazoa; Chordata; Lepidosauria; Squamata; Phrynosomatidae
Source: the annotation of a GenBank genome assembly